GAACAGUGCCAAUCAGUCACUAUAUGGCACUGCUCACAUGUUACAUGCUGUUUCUGUAACAGGAUUUACCCUCUACUUUUAUAUUUAAUAGUGACUGUUAUUGUUUCAGUGUACAAAGUGUGGAAUGGAUGCAAACACUAAUCGUCUGGAGUCAGGUGCUACCUCUGGAGAUGUUACCCAGUGCACCCAACAUUCACAACACAAAUCUGCUUCCCACAUCGAGGUGACAGAAAGUGGAAUAGAGGUGGACAGUAAUCGUUUGGAGUCAGAUGGUGCCUCUAGAGAUGAUCAUCAUUGCACCCAACAUUCACAGCAUGAGUCUUCAUUCUGUAAUCUGGUAUGGAACUGCCUUUUUAAUAUAUUUUAUAACAUAGUAAACGUUAAGUCCCCACAAUGUACAUUGUACUAUACCAGUGUUUUCAAAGACACUGCUUCCCCACACUGUCUUUUAACAUGAAACUUUACACAAUACAGUUAUGUGUGUUUAUCUUUGUUUAGCAAAACCCUUGUUUUCUACACAUUCAAUUUUAUUUACUUAAUUACUUAAUAAAUUAGUUAAUUGUACUUUUAGGAUUAAUUGUGAUUUGGGGUGGUUUCAGGUGAUAAGUACAAUAGGUGAAAAAAGUCAUCAUCUGGAAUCUGAUCUUACCGCUGGAGAUGAUCAGCAGAAAAUGUCUGCAGUCUUAGUUCAGGAAGAACAUUUUGCUUUUAUAGCUUUAUGCAGUAUGUGCCAAAAGUAGCCUUGCUGGCUUAAUAAGAAAAGUUCAAAUGUAACCAAAAGGCAAAUAAUUU
This is a long non-coding RNA of Ictalurus punctatus (channel catfish), 792 nucleotides long. NCBI's taxonomy places the organism in Eukaryota, Metazoa, Chordata, Actinopteri, Siluriformes, Ictaluridae. The record is from Ensembl.